UACGUAGGGUGCGAGCGUUGUCCGGAAUUCUUGGGCGUAAAGAGCUCGUAGGCGGUUUGUCGCGUCGGUCGUGAAAACUUGGGGCUUAACCCUGAGCUUGCGGUCGAUACGGGCAUGACUGGAGUUCGGCAGGGGAGACUGGAAUUCCUGGUGUAGCGGUGAAAUGCGCAGAUAUCAGGAGGAACACCGGUGGCGAAGGCGGGUCUCUGGGCCGAUACUGACGCUGAGGAGCGAAAGCGUGGGGAGCGAACAGG
RNAcentral lists this ribosomal RNA (254 nucleotides) under uncultured bacterium. RNAcentral's name for it is "partial 16S ribosomal RNA". It matches the Rfam family "Bacterial small subunit ribosomal RNA", at positions 524 to 776 of the family's 1533-position model. The record is from RNAcentral.